UCCUUUAUGUGAUUAAAUGUGAUGUGUUGCAUUUCAUGAAAGCAUGUAAAGUAAAAGUUAUGUCAUUUAAAUGUUAUUAAUAAAAUGAAUAAUAAUAUACCUAAAAAGUGUGGAAUUAAAGCAAAUGAUAAUAAUAAUAAAAUGAAGAAUAAAAUACCUAAAAAGGGAGGAAUUAAUAUCAUGUCUUUACUUUUUACUCACUGGGCUUUUUAGCUCACCCCUCUCCCCUAACCCCAGUCUUGCAGGUACCGUGUAGAUAGAGAAGUCAGAAGAGUAAGAGAAGUUCAUGUAAUAGCAUAGCUGUGGACAUGGUUUAUUCAUAAUGUAAAAGUAUGUUAUGUUAUGUAAUGUAAGUUUUAUAGUGUGCUUGACUAGAGUCUGUUGUAAUCCCUUAAAUACAUGAGAUAAAUGUUUUAUGAUGUUUAUGUAACCUAAGCCUGCUAUAUGUUAUGUACCCCAUUGGAGUAUUUGUUGAGGACUCCAAUGAGGGGUUUAUGUUAUGUUUAUGCAUGCACAGGCUGAACUGGGUAAAGAAAUGUUUGAAUGAAAGAAAAGUUUUAAUUUUUAUGUAUGUUUUGG
This 579-nucleotide long non-coding RNA is filed under the name Manihot esculenta (cassava). Its description in RNAcentral is "long non-coding RNA (MESC_LNC000180)". The record is from RNAcentral. Lineage: Eukaryota; Viridiplantae; Streptophyta; Magnoliopsida; Malpighiales; Euphorbiaceae.